GGGAGGCAGCAGUGGGGAAUAUUGCACAAUGGGCGCAAGCCUGAUGCAGCCAUGCCGCGUGUGUGAAGAAGGCCUUCGGGUUGUAAAGCACUUUCAGCGGGGAGGAAGGCGGUGAGGUUAAUAACCUCACGGAUUGACGUUACCCGCAGAAGAAGCACCGGCUAACUCCGUGCCAGCAGCCGCGGUAAUACGGAGGGUGCAAGCGUUAAUCGGAAUUACUGGGCGUAAAGCGCACGCAGGCGGUCUGUCAAGUCGGA
This 257-nucleotide ribosomal RNA is filed under the name Klebsiella pneumoniae. RNAcentral's name for it is "partial 16S ribosomal RNA". It matches the Rfam family "Bacterial small subunit ribosomal RNA", at positions 343 to 592 of the family's 1533-position model. Lineage: Bacteria; Pseudomonadati; Pseudomonadota; Gammaproteobacteria; Enterobacterales; Enterobacteriaceae. The record is from RNAcentral.